This 782-nucleotide non-coding RNA is filed under the name Tessaromerus quadriarticulatus. The record is from RNAcentral. Lineage: Eukaryota; Metazoa; Arthropoda; Insecta; Hemiptera; Urostylididae.
GGGUGUAAUUUGAUUUUAGUUACACUAAAUGGCUUUACUUUUAUUUUACAUGUAUAUUUUAGUAAGAUUAUUUUAUAAUUCUUAAAGAAUUUAAAUUAUUUUUAUACGCAGUUUUUAGUUUUAAAUCUUUAAAAAAUUUUAGAGUUAGUUAAUGGUAUAUAUGAUUAGCUAAUAAUGUGCCAGCAGCUGCGGUUAUACAUUUAGAUCAAAGUUAUUUUGUUUAAUUUAUAAUUACUUGUAUUAGUUGGAUUAAUAAAUUUUGUUUUUAGGGUGAAAUUUAAAAUAAAUUUUAAUUCUGGGUGAGGAUUUUAUGAUAUUUUUAUAUAGACUAGGAUUAGAUACCCUAUUAUUUUAAAUGUAAAUUUUAAAAUUAGUAUUAAUAGUUAUGAUCUUUAAAUUAAAAGAAUUUGACGGUAAUUUAAUCUGUUCAGAGGAGCCUGUAUUUUAAUCGAUAAUCCACGAUAAAUAUUACCUUGAAAUAUUAGUUUGUAUACCUCUGUCUUAAGAAUGUUUUAUUAGAAUUUUAAUUUUCUAAUUUUUAUCUUAAUUAUAUGUCAAGUCAAGGUGCAGCUUUUUAAGGAUUUUUAUGGGCUACAUUUAUUUUUAAUUUUGAAUAAAAAUUUGUAUUUGAUUUUUUGAAAAUGGAUUUGAUUGUAAUAUAUAUUAUAUUUUAUAUAUGAUAUUUGCUCUGGGUUAAGUACAUAUCGCCCGUCGCUCUUAUUAUUAAAAUAAGAUAAGUCGUAACAAAGUAGGCUUAUCGGAAGAUGAGCCUGGAAUUAAGU